Onychomys torridus (southern grasshopper mouse) is the source of this 845-nucleotide long non-coding RNA. RefSeq lists it as uncharacterized. Lineage: Eukaryota; Metazoa; Chordata; Mammalia; Rodentia; Cricetidae. The transcript has 3 exons. The record is from RefSeq and is a predicted model, not a curated record.
UAAUGGCUAAGAUGCGACAAACGGAGCUCCAAGUUUAACAACAGCAGCAGCGAUUGAUCAAGUGCUGGCACAGACCUGGAAAGCAACUCCCUCUCCCACUGCUGCUUUGCCAAGGCCCGGUGUGGUGGGUGGGGAGGAGGACUGUCUAACUCUACAGUCGUGGCCAUCGUGUCUUAAAGAGAAAGGUCAGCUACAGCUGGGAACAAAAACAGGAGGAGUGUCCCCGCAUUUCCACUGUUCGAUACUGACUAGAGUGUGCCACCUUGGUGACGCAGAACAUAAAUGUGUCUCAGCACUGCAGUUCAAGCCAGCUGGGAAGAUUACUUAAGCAGAGAAGGAGCCACUAGAAAACGCAGAAUAUCCAGGAUAUGGACAGUCUGCACACUGCUGUCUGUCACUCAGUAUGAAACACAUCAGCAACAGAAAAGAACUGAUGAACAAGACGAGGUAAAUGCUGCCAAUGGUUCAUAGCUGUGGAAUCUAGUAGUAGGUGUAUGUGUGUUUGCUGUCCACGUCUUUCAAAGCUGCUGCACUGUUCAACAAUAUGACCAAAUACUAGGUUGGGUAAUGUUUUUAAAAGGUCCAUAAUCCUUACCCAAACACAGUUACCCAAGUGUCAUCGAGGUGAUCUUCUGAAGUCAGAGAAUCUCCUUGAGUAUAAAAAGGAUCCAACUGGGCAGGAGAGAGUGUCGUCUUCCGUGGCUGGCCAAUAUUUGCUGGACUAAACAUGCUUUGUCCUAUAUUGAUAAAUUUAGGAAGUUAGUUACCAACAUAAACACAUGAGCUUAUUUUGAAACAAAGAUCUUAGUUCAAAGGGCAAAGUAUAUUAAAAGUUGACUGUUAUA